ACGCCAUUUCCUGUGCACAGCUCACAAUCCCCUCGUUCACGCGCAGGGCUCACAGUUGCUCUUCAUAAUGGUAAGAUACUCAUUCAAUACUUGUCGCCGUCAAUCUCUAUUUGUUACUCAUCAUUAUCCUCGCGUGUAUUUUUGGGUUGAUUGGAUUGGAUGAUAAAAGUCGAGCUCAACCACAACUUUCUGCUCUUUCACAACAUUGUCUUCGCCAUCAAUCUUUAUUUAUGCGCAAUGUGGUUGAUUGUUUAUAUUUUCUGAGAUGUUUUUGAAUUGCCUAUAGCAAUACUGUUGUGGUGAUGUAAUUUUUUUAAUAAAAGCACAAUUGAAAGACUAAAACUACAACUAGAAAAGAAAGAGAUUUAGCUUUCCGUCGUAUGUUAGUCAUAUGCUUUUCUUCAGCAUUGAUAUUUAUCCAUCAACGGAAAUUGAUAAUUGAUUCUGCUGGUAGAAAGAGUUAAAUAAAGUUGAUGAAUUUGAGCACAUCGAUGUUUCUAGUUCGGAGCUUUCUAGAAUUACCUCGCUUUCUGAUUAGCCUUCUCCAUUUGUUUCUGCAUCAGAACAGAGCCUCUGAUUAUGCUGAAUCCAACCAAAUACCAGACAACUUUCAAUAAAUUACAUUUAUACGAAAAGAUUCGAGCUUUAGCCCCGUCUUAUUCAAUUUGUGGAUGGAGUAAUUUUACCUCAAUUUCAAAUCAGUAUCAUGAUUCAGAAACUCCACAAGGUUUGGAGCAGAAUGUUGCAGAUAGAAAUGUUGCAN
This 763-nucleotide long non-coding RNA is filed under the name Salvia miltiorrhiza (redroot sage). RNAcentral's name for it is "long non-coding RNA (SMIL_LNC004693)". Lineage: Eukaryota; Viridiplantae; Streptophyta; Magnoliopsida; Lamiales; Lamiaceae. The record is from RNAcentral.